This 433-nucleotide ribosomal RNA is filed under the name uncultured bacterium. RNAcentral describes it as "partial 16S ribosomal RNA". It matches the Rfam family "Bacterial small subunit ribosomal RNA", at positions 29 to 507 of the family's 1533-position model. The record is from RNAcentral.
AGCGAACGCUGGCGGCAGGCCUAACACAUGCAAGUCGAACGAACUCUUCGGAGUUAGUGGCGGACGGGUGAGUAACACGUGGGAACGUGCCUUUAGGUUCGGAAUAACUCAGGGAAACCUGUGCUAAUACCGAAUGUGCCCUUCGGGGGAAAGAUUUAUCGCCUUUAGAGCGGCCCGCGUCUGAUUAGCUAGUUGGUGAGGUAAAGGCUCACCAAGGCGACGAUCAGUAGCUGGUCUGAGAGGAUGAUCAGCCACAUUGGGACUGAGACACGGCCCAAACUCCUACGGGAGGCAGCAGUGGGGAAUCUUGCGCAAUGGGCGAAAGCCUGACGCAGCCAUGCCGCGUGAAUGAUGAAGGUCUUAGGAUUGUAAAAUUCUUUCACCGGGGACGAUAAUGACGGUACCCGGAGAAGAAGCCCCGGCUAACUUCGUG